This is a long non-coding RNA of Etheostoma cragini (Arkansas darter), 869 nucleotides long. RefSeq lists it as uncharacterized. The record is from RefSeq and is a predicted model, not a curated record. NCBI's taxonomy places the organism in Eukaryota, Metazoa, Chordata, Actinopteri, Perciformes, Percidae. The transcript has 3 exons.
AUUGGAGGGUCACAACUCAUGGGAGCUACCUGGCUAAUAAGCCACUGAGCAACACACCUGAGGGACACCAGUGGUGCAAAGGUGGAAAGUUGAGCUGGAGACAUUGAGGGCACAACUAAGCAGAAGGCUGCUUUAAAAAAGACAGUGCUGAAGCUUUUAAAGGACAUGUUCAGCUAGCACAUGCAGAGCUCCAAAAACCCCUCAAGCUUGGAUUUUGUAAAGUUUCCCUACAGGACUAAUGGAUCUACUGAGGAUGACAUGGCCACAGCCCUCCAUGCUGCACUGUCCCACCUGGAACAGCAGGGUAGCUAGGCCCGGCUGCUUUUAACACCAUCCCCACAGAUUGGUGUCCAAAAUCUGAUAUUGGAAUACCACACUCCACCUGCCUCUGGAUUAAGGACUUUCUGACAGACCGCAGUCAGAGGGUGAGAGCGGGCCUCCAUACAUCUACGGCCCUCAGCCUGGGCUCCCCGCAGGGCUGCAUGCUGAUUCCCCUGCUCUAUACCCUCUACACCCACGACUGCACCCCUGCUCUCCACAGGAACACUUUUAUCAAAUUUGCUGAAGACACCACGGUUGUGGCACUCAUCACGAGCAGGGAUGUAUUUAAACUACAUAGAUGAGGUGGAGCGUUUGGCAGGGUGGUGCAACUCCUCAACACAUCUAAGACAAAAGAGCUAAUCGUGGACUUCAGGAGAAAGAAAAUGGACGUCCAGCUGCUAUUCGUAGGCGGGGCCUGUGUAGAGAGGGUCUCUGACUUCAGCUUCUUUGGAGUCAACAUCAUGGAACCUGACCUGGGGCAGCCACACUACUGAGCUAGUGACAAAGGUCCAGCAGAGACUCUACUUUCUAAAAGUUCUCAGGAGGAA